UUACCACCUUGACAUCGCAGAGAUUAGUUCGCUGACAGGUGCUGCAUGGCUGUCGUCAGCUCGUGUCGUGAGAUGUUCGGUUAAGUCCGGCAACGAGCGCAACCCCGCCUUAGUUGCCAGCAUAUGGGACUCUAGGGAAACGCCGGUGAUAACCGGAGGAAGGUGUGGAUGACGUCAAGUCCUCAUGGCCCUUACGGUGGGCUACACACGUGCUACAAUGGGUGACAAGGGAAUCCCAAAAGCAUCUCAGUUCGGAUUGGGGUCUGCAACUCGACCCCAUGAAGUCGGAAUCGCUAGUAAUCGCGAACGGCAUGCGCGGUGAAUACGUUCCCGGGCCUUGUACACACCGCCCGUCACACCAUGGGAGUUGGUCACCGAA
This 379-nucleotide ribosomal RNA is filed under the name uncultured bacterium. Its description in RNAcentral is "bacterial SSU rRNA". It matches the Rfam family "Bacterial small subunit ribosomal RNA", at positions 971 to 1425 of the family's 1533-position model. The record is from RNAcentral.